Molecule: ribosomal RNA, 468 nt
Filed under: uncultured bacterium
Lineage: Bacteria
Description: partial 16S ribosomal RNA
Rfam family: Bacterial small subunit ribosomal RNA
Source: RNAcentral
GACGAACGCUGGCGGCGUGCUUAACACAUGCGAGUCGAACGGAAAGGCCCUGCUUUUGUGGGGUGCUCGAGUGGCGAACGGGUGAGUAACACGUGAGUAACCUGCCCUUGACUUUGGGAUAACUUCAGGAAACUGGGUCUAAUACCGGAUAGGAGCUCCUGCUGCAUGGUGGGGGUUGGAAAGUUUCGGCGGUUGGGGAUGGACUCGCGGCUUAUCAGCUUGUUGGUGGGGUAGUGGCUUACCAAGGCUUUGACGGGUAGCCGGCCUGAGAGGGUGACCGGACAAAUUGGGACGGAGCUACGGCACAGACUCCUAGGGGAGGCAGCAGUGGGGAAUAUUGCACAAUGGGCGGAAGCCUGAUGCAGCAACGCCGCGUGCGGGAUGACGGCCUUCGGGUUGUAAACCGCUUUCGCCUGUGACGAAGCGUGAGUGACGGUAAUGGGUAAAGAAGCACCGGCUAACUACGUG